AUGGGACACAGUGUGAUCUCAGUGGCACGUCUUAAGGAAUGUCAUUACCCAAAUGAAAAGCUCCCCCAGGGAAGGAAGGGCAGGGACGCGUUGUUCCGGAGACGCACACAAACACUCUCCGCCAAGGCACAGAAAUGUACAGGAGACGGAGCGGAGGGAGCAAGAGCGGAGAUGAAGGACCAGCGACGGUGGACCCCAGCCUUCCCACCCCAAAUCCUUCCAGUUGCCAAGAGUCGAAAGGUUGGGAUUUGCAAUGAACCUGGUUGCAAUUUGAUCAACCCCAAAGUUGAUAUGAUUUUCCUGAUGCUUGAGGGAUGCAUCAAGUGGUCUCCAAGCAGGAGGCAUCUCAACCGUUGACUUGCCCAAGCUCAGCCAAUGGGUGUAGGAGCCACAGUGACGCAAUGGGAUAAACACUUGUGAAGGUUGGGUUGCUGACCUGAAAGUUGCCGGUUCAAAUCCGCGAGAUGGGGUGAGCUCCCGCCUGUCAGCUCUAGCUUGUGGAGACCUGAGAGAAGCCUCACAGCAGGAUGGUAACACAUUCCGGGCAAUGUCCCUUGGGCAACAUCUUUGCAGACGGCCAAUUCUCUCACACCAGAAGUGACUCGUAGUAUGUUCUCAAGUCGAGUAAGCUCCCGCCUGUCAGCUCUAGCUUGUGGGGAUAUGAGAGGAGGCUCCCAGCAGGAUGGUAAUACAUUGGUAAUGUCCCCUGGGCAACAUCUUUGUAGACGGCCAAUUCUCUCACACCAGAAGCGACCUGCAGUAUAUAUACCUCACAACCUCUGAGGAUGCCUGCCAUAGAUGUGGGCGAAACGUCAGGAGAGAAUACUUCUGGAACAUGGCCAUACAGCCCAGAAAACACACAACCAUGACUUGACAUAUGUUCUCAAGUUGCUUCUGACAUGUUAAAAAAGCCAAUGGGUUUCCACAGCUGAGCAAGAACUCGAACCCAGGGCUCCAGAGUUGUCAUCCAAUGCUCCGACCAUACCAUCUCAAUAGGAUUUACCAAUGUGAGGAAUCCACCACCGAUCCAAAGGGUCAACUCCAGUUGGGAUCCAACCUUUUACCCCUCGCGAAGUGUCACAAGUGGUACAACAUAAUAUGCUCCUUUCCUCCAGACUGUCCUUUCUUCUCCUUCCUCCUCGCAGGCUUCCAGAACGUUCCGGUCGACUGGUUUGGAAAAUGGGAUGUUCGGUAACGGCUCAAUCGUUGGGUGCCACCACGCUUCUUUCUUUCUCUCUCCUCGGUGAGCCUCGCUUUGUGGAUUUAUGGGACCGUACAGCCCCAUAAUGCAUUUUUUAAUCACCCUGUCGACUUGCGGGGACAAAGAGUCGGACGCAGAGAUUACUUCCGACAGUAACAUCUUGUUCUGGAGAAGACCAGCGGGAACACUCAAGAGCAGGCGAAAACACGCGCAGAACGUUGCGCCUCCUGCUUCAAAGGUAGUCACCGCCGAGUCUCCCAACUGUCCGUAAUUUUUAGCUAGAACUACAAUCUUCUCUGUCUCCAUGGCCUUGGAAGUAGAGUUAAUUGUUUUCUUUAAGGAGCCAUCUAUUACUUAACUGAUGGCAGAAUUAUGAUGUUGCUGCAAA
RNAcentral lists this long non-coding RNA (1589 nucleotides) under Anolis carolinensis (green anole). RNAcentral's name for it is "lncRNA (ENSACAG00000036608.1)". Lineage: Eukaryota; Metazoa; Chordata; Lepidosauria; Squamata; Anolidae. The record is from RNAcentral.